This 191-nucleotide unclassified non-coding RNA is filed under the name uncultured Cortinarius. RNAcentral's name for it is "sequence contains ITS2". The record is from RNAcentral. Lineage: Eukaryota; Fungi; Basidiomycota; Agaricomycetes; Agaricales; Cortinariaceae.
AUAUAUCAACCCUCUUCUCUUGUUGAGUGGCUUGGAUGUGGGGGGUUCUCUUUGCUGGCCUCUCAAGGUUCAGCUCCCCUGAAAUGCAUUAGCAGAACAACCUGUUUGUUCAUUGGUGUGAUAACUAUCUACGCUAUUGAACCUGAGGCAGUUCAGCUCCCCUAACGGUCCUUGGACAAUUUAUCAUCUUA